UACGGGGGGAGCAAGCGUUGUUCGGAUUUACUGGGCGUAAAGGGCGCGUAGGCGGCCACUGCAAGUCGGUUGUGAAAUCCCCGGGCUUAACCCGGAAAGGUCAAUCGAUACUGCAGGGCUAGAGUGCAGAAGGGGCAACUGGAAUUCUCGGUGUAGCGGUGAAAUGCGUAGAUAUCGAGAGGAACACCUGCGGCGAAGGCGGGUUGCUGGGCUGACACUGACGCUGAAGCGCGAAAGCUAGGGGAGCGAACGGG
This 254-nucleotide ribosomal RNA is filed under the name uncultured bacterium. RNAcentral's name for it is "partial 16S ribosomal RNA". It matches the Rfam family "Bacterial small subunit ribosomal RNA", at positions 524 to 776 of the family's 1533-position model. The record is from RNAcentral.